Long non-coding RNA from Trachemys scripta elegans, 497 nucleotides. RefSeq lists it as uncharacterized. NCBI's taxonomy places the organism in Eukaryota, Metazoa, Chordata, Testudines, Emydidae. The transcript is spliced from 3 exons. The record is from RefSeq and is a predicted model, not a curated record.
AGCUGUAUUUGAUUUCUAGGAAGCAGAGUUAAUGCUUGGCUCUGAUCUGACACAGGUGUUGUAAAGUGGAAUUAUAAGGCAGGAUUGGGGCCUAGAUGCCUAAUCAGGUACUCUAACGAAGCCCAGGAGAAUUUAUGCAAACUUGGUAGUCAGAGGAGAGAGAGAGAGGCCUUUGGAGGAGGCAUAGUAUCCAGUGCCCAGAUGCUAGCAGGCAGAAGUAUGACUCCAGGUCCUCCCUCUCCCCUGCUGAAUGGAAACAGCCCAGGAGAGAAUGUGGGCCAACAAUUCAUAGAACUUAAAAUACACACCUAUGGUCCUUUAUUACAGUUGUUAAAAACUUCAAUUCAUGAAAGGUUGUUGCACUUAGCCUAACAAGCAUGGCAAGCUCCUGGGUAAACAAUGACAUUUUACGUUUUUUUGGUUCCACAUUUCUACAAAGAACCCCACUAAAAUCACACGCAAUCCUGACUGUAAAAUCCGAGGAAUCCAGUGAGUAU